AGCGCUGCGUAUUUAACGGCUGCGAAAGUAACCCAUUGCAGCAGGCGUAGGCGGAACGGAGCGAUCAUGAAGUCUUUUUCCGUCAUCGCCAUCACUUUGGCGCUUGUCGUCCAGUGCAGCUUGGCCGAACAAGAACCCCAUACCACGGAAAACGUCGACCAGCUCCGCGUGGUCUACCCGAACCAUCUUCCUACUCAGCCAUGGCCGCAACCUUGGCCACAGCCUUGGCCACAACCAUGGCCACAACCUUGGCCACAACCUUGGCCACUACCUUCGCGACGACCUUGGCCACGACUUGAGCCUCUACCUGAGCCUGGGCCCAGCCCCUUGCCUGAGGAUUCCACGCUGAAAGACUUGCUGGAGGUGGACAUUUCUGCCGAGGAUAAGUCAAAGACAAGGCAGCGCCGAGCUUUCCUUCCCAGGCUUUGGCCCCGCCCCUGGCCCAAGCCCUGGCCAAGGCCUUUCCCCAGACCUUGGGCUUAAUCAACACGAAUCGCCAGCUCUCCCGCAAAGUCAAAUAAAAGCUUAGAGAAGCGUUAAAUGCGCUUCGUCUCCUG
Molecule: long non-coding RNA, 557 nt
Organism: Dermacentor albipictus
Lineage: Eukaryota; Metazoa; Arthropoda; Arachnida; Ixodida; Ixodidae
Source: RefSeq, a predicted model, not a curated record